CAGUAGCCGCGGUAAUACAGAGGGUGCGAGCGUUAAUCGGAUUUACUGGGCGUAAAGCGUGCGUAGGCGGCUUCUUAAGUCGGAUGUGAAAUCCCUGAGCUUAACUUGGGAAUUGCAUUCGAUACUGGUUAGCUAGAGUGUGGGAGAGGAUGGUAGAAUUCCAGGUGUAGCGGUGAAAUGCGUAGAGAUCUGGAGGAAUACCGAUGGCGAAGGCAGCCAUCUGGCCUAACACUGACGCUGAGGUACGAAAGCAUGGGGAGCAAACAGGAUUAGAUACCCCCGUAGUCCCUGUCUCUUAUAC
This 301-nucleotide ribosomal RNA is filed under the name uncultured bacterium. Its description in RNAcentral is "partial 16S ribosomal RNA". It matches the Rfam family "Bacterial small subunit ribosomal RNA", at positions 509 to 807 of the family's 1533-position model. The record is from RNAcentral.